Molecule: transfer RNA, 75 nt
Filed under: Thermoplasmata archaeon
Lineage: Archaea; Methanobacteriati; Thermoplasmatota; Thermoplasmata
Also listed under: 3 other names
Description: tRNA-Ile
Rfam family: tRNA
About the family: Transfer RNA (tRNA) molecules are approximately 80 nucleotides in length.
Source: RNAcentral
GGGGUUGUAGCUUAGCUUGGUUUGAGCACCCGGCUGAUAACCGGGAGGCCACCGGUUCAAAUCCGGUCAACCCCA